This 446-nucleotide ribosomal RNA is filed under the name uncultured bacterium. Its description in RNAcentral is "partial 16S ribosomal RNA". It matches the Rfam family "Bacterial small subunit ribosomal RNA", at positions 29 to 523 of the family's 1533-position model. The record is from RNAcentral.
AGCGAACGCUGGCGGCAGGCUUAACACAUGCAAGUCGAACGCCCCGCAAGGGGAGUGGCAGACGGGUGAGUAACACGUGGGAACGUACCCUUUGGUUCGGAAUAACUUGGGGAAACUCAAGCUAAUACCGGAUAAGCCCUUAUGGGGAAAGGUUUACUGCCGAAGGAUCGGCCCGCGUCUGAUUAGCUAGUUGGUGAGGUAAUGGCUCACCAAGGCGACGAUCAGUAGCUGGUCUGAGAGGAUGAUCAGCCACACUGGGACUGAGUCACGGCCCAGACUCCUACGGGAGGCAGCAGUGGGGAAUAUUGGACAAUGGGGGCAACCCUGAUCCAGCCAUGCCGCGUGAGUGAUGAAGGCCUUAGGGUUGUAAAGCUCUUUACCCGGGACGAUAAUGACAGUACCGGGAGAAUAAGCCCCGGCUAACUUCGUGCCAGCCGCCGCCGUAA